Molecule: ribosomal RNA, 253 nt
Filed under: uncultured prokaryote
Description: partial 16S ribosomal RNA
Rfam family: Bacterial small subunit ribosomal RNA
Source: RNAcentral
ACGUAGGGCGCGAGCGUUGUCCGGAUUUAUUGGGCGUAAAGAGCUCGUAGGCGGCUCAUUGCGUCAACCGUGAAAACCAGCAGCUCAACUGUUGGCUUGCGGUUGAUACGGGUGGGCUGGAGUUCGGUAGGGGAGACUGGAAUUCCUGGUGUAGCGGUGAAAUGCGCAGAUAUCAGGAGGAACACCGGUGGCGAAGGCGGGUCUCUGGGCCGAUACUGACGCUGAGGAGCGAAAGCGUGGGGAGCGAACAGGA